CGAUAGGUAGAAUAAGUAUUGUAUGGGAAAUCUAGUAUUUGUUAAGUUAUCCGAUCUCGAUGGAUUUCUUGGCCCUUGAAGUGCGGGCCUACUAAUAUCGGAAUUGUGAAUGCCGCCAAAAAUGUGCUUCUCAUUGUCUUGUGAAUUGUAGGAGGGCACACUGCGAAUAAAACGUCAACCACGACCGCGCGUACGCCAGGCGCACGCCGCCCUUGAAGUAUCCCUCUCUUCGGACCUACGCGUGUGGGGUAGUCGUUUAAGGCAACUCCAUAUGAAGCAAGACAACUCCUUUUAUUCGCAGCCCUAGGGACCUGCAAGGGCAACUUGCGCUGGAGGACGACUUGGCGACCAGCUAGAGAGUUGCCAGGAGCAUUCCCGUACCAGUAGAGGAGUCGCAGACAGCGACAUAGAGGAGCGCAGACAGCGCCGAACACUGGGUACGCAGCAUUCCCCCAAGAGGAGUUCGCGGCUGAGAGGAGGGGACGCCACCCCUACAGCAGCGCGAGCGGAUCCGCAGCCAGCGAGUAGUGGAGCAGAAAACCGGCCGCGGCGGCGGACAUUUCUAGCCCAGCCACUACGGUGACUACAGUAGCGUCCCAACUCAGGAGUACUGCUGUCACAGCUGCGAGUUCAGAGCCGGAGAUGUGCCAGUCCCUCACGUCGGACCUUUUGAAAAGGAUUGCGGCUUUGGAGGAGGAGCUGAAGCAGGUUAAAACCCUGAACGGUGACAUCAAGGAGAUGUUCCACCAAGUGCUGAUCCGACCCUAGGAUCGGUGUUCCCAACGAUUCCUUUGGAGAGAUGGCAACGACGAUCGAGACCCGGAUGUGUACGAGAUGAAGGUAAUGACGUUUGGAGCAGCCUGCUCGCCGAGCGCUGCGCAUUACGUAAAGACUGUGCAUGCCCUGAAGUCAGCGAAGAAGCAUCAAUGAGCCAACUGGCGAAGGCCAGCUGUUGCAGCCACGGACGGAAACAUCCCAAAUACAAAUAAAAAUUGUAAAAUUAAGCGGAACGCUUUUCUGCCCGAUAGCAGUAUAGCCCGGAAAGCUAUAUGGAAAAAAAGAAUGAUGAAAAAACAAAAAAAAAGCUAAGCCCCAAUUAAAAUCAAUCCCAAAUUCUAAAUUUAAAAAAACCUAAAUACAGGAAAUAAUAUAAUUUUAUAAGCAAAUUUGAAGAUUUUGAUGUACAAGAUAGAACCAUGAUGGGGUUGAUUGAAGGUAAAACAGUGGACUUCACUGCAAAUGUAAUUAACAACAUUGAAUCUACCAAUGUCGAUCCUUAUUUGACGAAUAUAUUUUUAUUAAUAAUAGUUGUUUAUUUUGUCUUUACAAAGACUUAUCUUACACAAAAGGUGUAUAACUAAAUGGGCUUUAAGCCAAGCUAACGAUCUAGACAAGAUCUAAUUUUAUCAAACCACAAACAAUUGUGUUAAAAAUAUAUUCGAAAAAAAAAAAUCUCUUUACUCGUACGUACAAGAAGCGUAAAUUAAUGAGCAAAAUGAAUUGACUAACAGAAAUCACAGAAAAUGAGAUUAAAAAAAAUUAAAACUAAAAAAUCAAAAAAUAAACAUAAUUGAUUUUACAAAUAAAAAAUUUCAAUUUACUAAAAAAUGU
Molecule: long non-coding RNA, 1611 nt
Organism: Drosophila biarmipes
Lineage: Eukaryota; Metazoa; Arthropoda; Insecta; Diptera; Drosophilidae
Exons: 3
Source: RefSeq, a predicted model, not a curated record